RNAcentral lists this ribosomal RNA (346 nucleotides) under uncultured Allobrachymonas sp. Its description in RNAcentral is "bacterial SSU rRNA". It matches the Rfam family "Bacterial small subunit ribosomal RNA", at positions 1029 to 1382 of the family's 1533-position model. Lineage: Bacteria; Pseudomonadati; Pseudomonadota; Betaproteobacteria; Burkholderiales; Comamonadaceae. The record is from RNAcentral.
UGCACACAGGUGCUGCAUGGCUGUCGUCAGCUCGUGUCGUGAGAUGUUGGGUUAAGUCCCGCAACGAGCGCAACCCUUGCCAUUAGUUGCUACGAAAGGGCACUCUAAUGGGACUGCCGGUGACAAACCGGAGGAAGUGGGGAUGACGUCAAGUCCUCAUGGCCCUUAUAGGUGGGGCUACACACGUCAUACAAUGGCCGGUACAGAGGGUAGCCAACCCGCGAGGGGGAGCCAAUCCCACAAAGCCGGUCGUAGUCCGGAUCGCAGUCUGCAACUCGACUGCGUGAAGUCGGAAUCGCUAGUAAUCGCGGAUCAGCAUGUCGCGGUGAAUACGUUCCCGGGUCUU